This 468-nucleotide ribosomal RNA is filed under the name uncultured bacterium. Its description in RNAcentral is "partial 16S ribosomal RNA". It matches the Rfam family "Bacterial small subunit ribosomal RNA", at positions 28 to 507 of the family's 1533-position model. The record is from RNAcentral.
GACGAACGCUGGCGGCGUGCUUAACACAUGCAAGUCGAACGGAAAGGCCCUGCUUUUGUGGGGUGCUCGAGUGGCGAACGGGUGAGUAACACGUGAGUAACCUGCCCUUGACUUUGGGAUAACUUCAGGAAACUGGGGCUAAUACCGGAUAGGAGCUCCUUCUGCAUGGUGUGGGUUGGAAAGUUUCGGCGGUUGGGGAUGGACUCGCGGCUUAUCAGCUUGUUGGUGGGGUAGUGGCUUACCAAGGCUUUGACGGGUAGCCGGCCUGAGAGGGUGACCGGCCACAUUGGGACUGAGAUACGGCCCAGACUCCUACGGGAGGCAGCAGUGGGGAAUAUUGCACAAUGGGCGGAAGCCUGAUGCAGCAACGCCGCGUGCGGGAUGACGGCCUUCGGGUUGUAAACCGCUUUCGCCUGUGACGAAGCGUGAGUGACGGUAAUGGGUAAAGAAGCACCGGCUAACUACGUG